ACCCCGGAAUGAAUGGGACGCGGGUCCCUCUUCUCUCAGGAGAAGCGUUUGUUCGACGGGCUGCGCUAGCUCGAGGCUUCUCUUGUGAGCCAGGCGACGGACUCGUAGGGCUGCAGGCCCCUUCCAGGUUUCCUCUGUCCGUGCGCCCGCAGGCUUUGGGCGAGCUGCAGACUCUGGUGUUGCGGGUGCUCCACUUAGUGAAGCCCUAUACCAUUCACCAGGGAUUUGCGAGCUUCCAUUCGGACGCCACCUUAUCCCUUCUUCUGCGCUAUACCUUGUCCCCGCUGCUCGAGCCGCCACACUAGAGCGCAUCACGCCGGCUGUGGCCGUCUCCCUUCUGUCUCCCGUGUGGUUCCUGGAGCGACUAGAGGAAACGGCUGAGGGUGCUUGUGGUCUUUCUGCUUCCCGCAGCCCCAUUUCCUCUGGGUGUGUGGUAUGACUGCAAAGACCAGACUAGCUUGUGAUGAUGAUGAUGGUCAGAAUCAGUCAAACCCAGAACCUCCUGCAUGCUAAGCAGGUGCUCCACCUCCUGAGUGGCAUCCCUCACUGUUAUGCAGUAAGGGUUAUAGUGAAAGGGGGACAAGAAGGUUUUGCAGAAAGGAAAGCAUCUUGGAAUCAUCAUAGAAAGAUUCCAGGAGGAGGAGGUGCUACUUGGUCCCUAGGAAAGAGUAGGAUUUGGCAAGAGGGGAGAAAGCAAGCCGGCUAGGGAAGAGGACAGUAAACACAGUUUAGACUCAGGGCCAGCUCUGCAGCUCAGCAGUGGAACACUGGGUUAAAUCACCAGUAGCAGAAAAACUAAUCAAAACAAAGGGAGGAGCGGAGAAGAGAGACAUCCAGUGACAGGCCCCUUCCAGAGAGGCCCCACCUCCUAGUAGUACAUUUAAUUAUGAACUCGUUAAUGGAUCCAUCUGCUGAGGAGUACAGCAUCUCCAGACCCAAUCACCAUCCAGAAGCCCCACCUCUAGAGAAAUGAAACUCGGUGAACUUCUAGAUCUGCAUAACAGCCUGCCCUUGGCCUUCCAAAGGCUCAUGUCUAUUUCAUUAUGUAAAAAUGUAUUUAGCCCAUCUCUAAGAGUCUCCAGAGCUGGCCA
Molecule: long non-coding RNA, 1091 nt
Organism: Octodon degus (degu)
Lineage: Eukaryota; Metazoa; Chordata; Mammalia; Rodentia; Octodontidae
Exons: 3
Source: RefSeq, a predicted model, not a curated record